UACGUAGGGUGCAAGCGUUGUCCGGAAUUAUUGGGCGUAAAGAGCUCGUAGGCGGUUUGUCGCGUCUGCUGUGAAAACGCGAGGCUCAACCUCGCGCCUGCAGUGGGUACGGGCAGACUAGAGUUCGGCAGGGGAGACUGGAAUUCCUGGUGUAGCGGUGAAAUGCGCAGAUAUCAGGAGGAACACCGGUGGCGAAGGCGGGUCUCUGGGCCGAUACUGACGCUGAGGAGCGAAAGCGUGGGGAGCAAACAGG
RNAcentral lists this ribosomal RNA (253 nucleotides) under uncultured bacterium. Its description in RNAcentral is "partial 16S ribosomal RNA". It matches the Rfam family "Bacterial small subunit ribosomal RNA", at positions 524 to 776 of the family's 1533-position model. The record is from RNAcentral.